UACGGAGGAUCCGAGCGUUAUCCGGAAUCAUUGGGUUUAAAGGGUCCGUAGGCGGCCUUGUAAGUCAGUGGUGAAAUCUCACGGCUCAACCGUGAAAUGGCCAUUGAUACUGCAGGGCUUGAAUAAUCGGGAAGCAGCUAGAAUAUGUAGUGUAGCGGUGAAAUGCUUAGAUAUUACAUGGAAUACCGAUUGCGAAGGCAGGCUGCUACCGGUUUAUUGACGCUGAUGGACGAAAGCGUGGGGAGCGAACAGGAUUAGAUACCCUGGUAGUCCACGCUGUAAACGAUGGAUACUAGCUGCUGGGGUGUAAGCUUCAGUGGCUAAGCGAAAGUGAUAAGUAUCCCACCUGGGGAGUACGAACGCAAGUUUGAA
RNAcentral lists this ribosomal RNA (372 nucleotides) under uncultured bacterium. Its description in RNAcentral is "bacterial SSU rRNA". It matches the Rfam family "Bacterial small subunit ribosomal RNA", at positions 524 to 898 of the family's 1533-position model. The record is from RNAcentral.